RNAcentral lists this ribosomal RNA (1545 nucleotides) under Salmonella enterica subsp. enterica serovar Typhi str. Ty2. RNAcentral's name for it is "16S ribosomal RNA". It matches the Rfam family "Bacterial small subunit ribosomal RNA". Lineage: Bacteria; Pseudomonadati; Pseudomonadota; Gammaproteobacteria; Enterobacterales; Enterobacteriaceae. The record is from RNAcentral.
UUAAAUUGAAGAGUUUGAUCAUGGCUCAGAUUGAACGCUGGCGGCAGGCCUAACACAUGCAAGUCGAACGGUAACAGGAAGCAGCUUGGCUGCUUUGCUGACGAGUGGCGGACGGGUGAGUAAUGUCUGGGAAACUGCCUGAUGGAGGGGGAUAACUACUGGAAACGGUGGCUAAUACCGCAUAACGUCGCAAGACCAAAGAGGGGGACCUUCGGGCCUCUUGCCAUCAGAUGUGCCCAGAUGGGAUUAGCUUGUUGGUGAGGUAACGGCUCACCAAGGCGACGAUCCCUAGCUGGUCUGAGAGGAUGACCAGCCACACUGGAACUGAGACACGGUCCAGACUCCUACGGGAGGCAGCAGUGGGGAAUAUUGCACAAUGGGCGCAAGCCUGAUGCAGCCAUGCCGCGUGUAUGAAGAAGGCCUUCGGGUUGUAAAGUACUUUCAGCGGGGAGGAAGGUGUUGUGGUUAAUAACCGCAGCAAUUGACGUUACCCGCAGAAGAAGCACCGGCUAACUCCGUGCCAGCAGCCGCGGUAAUACGGAGGGUGCAAGCGUUAAUCGGAAUUACUGGGCGUAAAGCGCACGCAGGCGGUCUGUCAAGUCGGAUGUGAAAUCCCCGGGCUCAACCUGGGAACUGCAUUCGAAACUGGCAGGCUUGAGUCUUGUAGAGGGGGGUAGAAUUCCAGGUGUAGCGGUGAAAUGCGUAGAGAUCUGGAGGAAUACCGGUGGCGAAGGCGGCCCCCUGGACAAAGACUGACGCUCAGGUGCGAAAGCGUGGGGAGCAAACAGGAUUAGAUACCCUGGUAGUCCACGCCGUAAACGAUGUCUACUUGGAGGUUGUGCCCUUGAGGCGUGGCUUCCGGAGCUAACGCGUUAAGUAGACCGCCUGGGGAGUACGGCCGCAAGGUUAAAACUCAAAUGAAUUGACGGGGGCCCGCACAAGCGGUGGAGCAUGUGGUUUAAUUCGAUGCAACGCGAAGAACCUUACCUGGUCUUGACAUCCACAGAACUUUCCAGAGAUGGAUUGGUGCCUUCGGGAACUGUGAGACAGGUGCUGCAUGGCUGUCGUCAGCUCGUGUUGUGAAAUGUUGGGUUAAGUCCCGCAACGAGCGCAACCCUUAUCCUUUGUUGCCAGCGGUCCGGCCGGGAACUCAAAGGAGACUGCCAGUGAUAAACUGGAGGAAGGUGGGGAUGACGUCAAGUCAUCAUGGCCCUUACGACCAGGGCUACACACGUGCUACAAUGGCGCAUACAAAGAGAAGCGACCUCGUGAGAGCAAGCGGACCUCAUAAAGUGCGUCGUAGUCCGGAUUGGAGUCUGCAACUCGACUCCAUGAAGUCGGAAUCGCUAGUAAUCGUGGAUCAGAAUGCCACGGUGAAUACGUUCCCGGGCCUUGUACACACCGCCCGUCACACCAUGGGAGUGGGUUGCAAAAGAAGUAGGUAGCUUAACCUUCGGGAGGGCGCUUACCACUUUGUGAUUCAUGACUGGGGUGAAGUCGUAACAAGGUAACCGUAGGGGAACCUGCGGUUGGAUCACCUCCUUA